AGGGUUUGAUUAUGGCUCAGGAUGAACGCUGGCGGCGUGCUUAAUACAUGCAAGUCGAACGAAGCACCUUGGACAGAAUCCUUCGGGAGGAAGACCAUUGUGACUGAGUGGCGGACGGGUGAGUAACGCGUGGGUAACCUGCCUUGUACAGGGGGAUAACAGUUGGAAACGACUGCUAAUACCGCAUAAGCGCACAGUACCGCAUGGUACGGUGUGAAAAACUCCGGUGGUACAAGAUGGACCCGCGUCUGAUUAGCUAGUUGGUGAGGUAACGGCCCACCAAGGCGACGAUCAGUAGCCGACUUGAGAGAGUGAUCGGCCACAUUGGGACUGAGACACGGCCCAA
RNAcentral lists this ribosomal RNA (346 nucleotides) under uncultured bacterium. Its description in RNAcentral is "bacterial SSU rRNA". It matches the Rfam family "Bacterial small subunit ribosomal RNA", at positions 8 to 334 of the family's 1533-position model. The record is from RNAcentral.